This 622-nucleotide long non-coding RNA is filed under the name Setaria viridis. Its description in RNAcentral is "long non-coding RNA (SVIR_LNC001422)". The record is from RNAcentral. Lineage: Eukaryota; Viridiplantae; Streptophyta; Magnoliopsida; Poales; Poaceae.
UCUUUUGUGACUUAGCACCAGACUUGUAUUUUCCAAUCUUAGAAUAAAGUUCCAAGUAGCUAUUAUCCUCAUCAAAGAUCUCUUCCAACAGAUCCCCACAAAGAUUCUGAAUCUCUCUACUUUCUACUUCUUCUAUCUCCUCAUCCUCCUUAACACUAUCCAGAUUUUUUUCACUUUGGUUAUCAAAAUCUGUAUGUUGAUCUAACAAUCUGUUCUCUACUGAAAGAAUUUCUUUUACCACCCUUUCCAUAUCCUUUUCACUUUCUCCCAAUCUAACACCUAAUUGACUAACAUUACUAACAGCAUUAUUCAAAAGAAAUGGAAAGCAAUGUUCAGUCUCAGUGUUACCUUCAUUGAGCUCCAGAUUCUUUCGGGCUGCAAUCUUCUCUGUCUUGGUUAGGAUGUGCUAAUCUACUGAAUUAACCAAUCUAGGACUUGCCCUUGUUGGUGUUAUUACAGCCUCAUGAAUUGCAGCCAUCUUCUUCAAGUCAUCUGUUUCCCCUGCUUCUUCCCAACUACUUUCCCCCUCCUGGUCUUCAUUUUUAUCAUUCAUAACUUGAUUUGAUAAGUCAUCCAACGUUUUAUCUACUGCUCUAUCCAUUAUUUACUCAGCCUUCUCCUU